This 519-nucleotide ribosomal RNA is filed under the name uncultured eukaryote. RNAcentral describes it as "SSU rRNA". It matches the Rfam family "Eukaryotic small subunit ribosomal RNA", at positions 1161 to 1704 of the family's 1831-position model. The record is from RNAcentral.
AGGGCACCACCAGGAGUGGAGCCUGCGGCUUAAUUUGACUCAACACGGGAAAACUCACCCGGCCCGGACACCGUAAGGAUUGACAGAUUGAGAGCUCUUUCUUAAUUCGGUGGGUGGUGGUGCAUGGCCGUUCUUAGUUGGUGGAGCGAUUUGUCUGGUUAAUUCCGAUAACGAACGAGACCCUGGCCUAUUAAAUAGACGAGAUAUUAAAAAGUAUAUCGCACUUCUUAGAGGGACAAGCGGCGUCUAGUCGCGUGAAAAAGAGCAAUAACAGGUCUGUGAUGCCCUUAGAUGUCCGGGGCUGCACGCGCGCUACACUGAAAGAAUCAGUGUGCGUUUUACCUAGUUCGGAAGAACCGGGUAACCCAAGUAAAUUCUUUCGUGCUUGGGAUAGGGAAUUGCAAUUAUUUCCCUUAAACGAGGAAUUCCCAGUAAAUGCGGGUCAUAAGCUCGCGUUGAUUACGUCCCUGCCCUUUGUACACACCGCCCGUCGCUACUACCGAUUGGAUGACUUAGUGA